CCCCUAGACGUUCUGGGCUGCACGCGCGCUACAAUAAUACGCACAGCGAGUAUCACCGAGCUCGAAAGGGCAAGGUAAACAAUAGAAAAGGUACUGUAAUGGUUAUAGAUCCUUGUAAUUAUUGAUCUUCAACGAGGAAUUCCUAGUAAGUAUGUGUCAUCAUCACGCACUGAUUACGUCCCUGCCCUUUGUACACACCGCCCGUCGCUCCUACCGAUUGGGUGAGCCGAUGAAACUCUCGGAUGUAGGCUAUUCAUAGCCCGCAGACGAGAUUUGAAUCGUAGCGCUUAGAGGAAGGAGAAGUCGUAACA
RNAcentral lists this ribosomal RNA (311 nucleotides) under uncultured eukaryote. Its description in RNAcentral is "partial 18S ribosomal RNA". It matches the Rfam family "Eukaryotic small subunit ribosomal RNA", at positions 1470 to 1796 of the family's 1831-position model. The record is from RNAcentral.